CCUACGGGUGGCAGCAGUGGGGGAUAUUGCACAAUGGGGGGAACCCUGAUGCAGUGACGCCGCGUGGGUGAAGGAGCGUUUCGGCGCGUAAAGCUCUAUCGGUAGGGAAGAAGGAGGACGGUACCUGACGAAGAAGCCCCGGCGAACUACGGGCCAGAAGCCGCGGUAAUACGCAGGGGGCAAGCGUUAGACGGAUUUACUGGGUGGAAAGGGGGCGCAGACGGUAGCGCAAGCGAGGAGUGAAAGCCCGGGGCCCAACCCCGGGACUGCACUUGAAACUGGGCGGCUGGAGUGCAGGAGGGGCAGGCGGAAUUCCUGGUGUAGCGGUGAAAUGCGUAGAUAUCAGGAGGAACACCGGUGGCGAAGGCGGCCUGCUGGCCUGCGACUGACGUUGAGGCCCGAAAGCGUGGGGAGCAAACAGGAUUAGAUACCCCGGUAGUC
Molecule: ribosomal RNA, 441 nt
Filed under: uncultured bacterium
Lineage: Bacteria
Description: partial 16S ribosomal RNA
Rfam family: Bacterial small subunit ribosomal RNA
Source: RNAcentral